RNAcentral lists this long non-coding RNA (535 nucleotides) under Coturnix japonica (Japanese quail). RNAcentral describes it as "lncRNA (ENSCJPG00005016840.1)". Lineage: Eukaryota; Metazoa; Chordata; Aves; Galliformes; Phasianidae. The record is from RNAcentral.
AUGUUACCUCAGUAUGUGAGCAAAGGAAAGGCACUGAUGGCUAAAAUAAAGACAGAGCCCCAGAGCUGCAGCCUGUUCUGCCAGAAUGAGACAGCAAAGCUUGCUGUAAGACUGUCCUGUACCUAUGGUGUAACAUGCUACACAGAACAGAAAGGACCAAAAUCUGGCCUCAAGUCACUCUCUGUUCUCAGGUCCUUGGUGGAAGAUCACACUGAUGUGCUGCCAGAUUCAAGAGGUGGCAUCUGCCAACCACAUUCCCCUCCCAGCUGCAUCACUCCUCUGCUCUCCUCUCUGUGCAUCACAUCUGGGGAAGGAAAUAUCUUCCCUCUGUUUCCUUCCCUCCCUCCCACUUCUUUUACAAAUUACAUUCUUGAAUGACCUUACUCUGUUCUUCUUUUCAGCUGGAGUUACUAUUUUCAUCACUUCUGUAUUAAAGAGGUUCUAUUUGCAAAUUCACACAUCAUUGUCAUAAAUUAAUAUUAAUAUCAGCAUUUCAAUAUGAAUAAAUAUUGGAAACUGAAGACUCUCUGCUUCA